GCUCUCGAGAACCGUAGUAAGGGUAGGCGUUGUGGAAGAAAGGGCGGAAAAACACAAAAUGCUUCCUCUGCGUUGCGGAAUAUUAUAAUCCAGCUGAUGGAUGUUAUCUGCUUUAAAUCUAGGGACAGAGGACUAUGGCAACUGGUGCCAUGAUGGUUGGAUUGGUAGUUGCACCAAUGGGCUGGAUCCUGAUGCUGGCUGCGACAGUCACGCCACAAUGGCGCGAGUUUGCCCAAAGACCCGGCUUCCCUCAAGAUGUCUCCUUCAGCGACGGACUCUGGGAGAGCUGUGUGGAGGUCACCAGUGUUCAUGGCAAGGAAUGCCGACCUGUCCCAGAAGAGUUGGCCAUCUCCUGGCCCAUUCAAAUGGUAAGGGCUCUGACUGUACUCUCGGUGCUUGCCGGCUUCCUGAGUUAUGUUCUGAGCCAUGUGGGGGCACGCUGGUGGUCGGAAAGGCCCAACAACCACCUUGCAGGAGUCUCGGGGCUCUUGCUUCUGCUCUCUGGAGUCUUGUACCUCUGUGCUACAUCCUAUAUGGCAUACAGAGCCUUGGCUGACAUCGGAAAUCCACAGACCCUAGCGGAGGACAAGUACCAUCUUGGCACAUGCCUCUACCUUGGG
Long non-coding RNA from Elgaria multicarinata webbii, 620 nucleotides. RefSeq lists it as uncharacterized. The record is from RefSeq and is a predicted model, not a curated record. NCBI's taxonomy places the organism in Eukaryota, Metazoa, Chordata, Lepidosauria, Squamata, Anguidae. The transcript has 3 exons.